Molecule: ribosomal RNA, 486 nt
Filed under: uncultured bacterium
Lineage: Bacteria
Description: partial 16S ribosomal RNA
Rfam family: Bacterial small subunit ribosomal RNA
Source: RNAcentral
AUUGAACGCUGGCGGCAUGCCUUACACAUGCAAGUCGAACGGCAGCACGGGUGCUUGCACCUGGUGGCGAGUGGCGAACGGGUGAGUAAUACAUCGGAACAUGUCCUGUAGUGGGGGAUAGCCCGGCGAAAGCCGGAUUAAUACCGCGUACGAUCCACGGAUGAAAGCGGGGGACCUUCGGGCCUCGCGCUAUAGGGUUGGCCGAUGGCUGAUUAGCUAGUUGGUGGGGUAAAGGCCUACCAAGGCGACGAUCAGUAGCUGGUCUGAGAGGACGACCAGCCACACUGGGACUGAGACACGGCCCAGACUCCUACGGGAGGCAGCAGUGGGGAAUUUUGGACAAUGGGCGAAAGCCUGAUCCAGCAAUGCCGCGUGUGUGAAGAAGGCCUUCGGGUUGUAAAGCACUUUUGUCCGGAAAGAAAUCCUUGACUCUAAUACAGUCGGGGGAUGACGGUACCGGAAGAAUAAGCACCGGCUAACUACGUG